CCUACGGGCGGCAGCAGUGAGGAAUAUUGGUCAAUGGGCGCGAGCCUGAACCAGCCAAGUAGCGUGAAGGAUGACUGCCCUACGGGUUGUAAACUUCUUUUAUAAAGGAAUAAAGUGAGGCACGUGUGCCUUUUUGUAUGUACUUUAUGAGUAAGGAUCGGCUAAUUCCGUGCCAGCAGCCGCGGUAAUACGGAGGAUCCGAGCGUUAUCCGGAUUUAUUGGGUUUAAAGGGAGCGUAGAUGGGUUGUUAAGUCAGUUGUGAAAGUUUGCGGCUCAACCGUAAAAUUGCAAUUGAUACUGGAAGUCUUGAGUACAGUUAAGGAUGGCGGAAUUCGUGGUGUAGCGGUGAAAUGCUUAGAUAUCACGAAGAACUCCGAUUGCGAAGGCAGCUGAC
RNAcentral lists this ribosomal RNA (394 nucleotides) under uncultured bacterium. RNAcentral describes it as "partial 16S ribosomal RNA". It matches the Rfam family "Bacterial small subunit ribosomal RNA", at positions 338 to 729 of the family's 1533-position model. The record is from RNAcentral.